CUUUCUCCGCCGGCGACCGGCGCACGGGUGAGUAACACGUAUGCAACCUGCCCCUGUCAGGGGGACAACCCGCCGAAAGGCGGGCUAAACCCGCGUACAUGCCACCGGGGCAUCCCGGAGGCAGGAAAGGCUUCGGCCCGGGACAGGGGAUGGGCAUGCGGCGCAUUAGGCAGUAGGCGGGGUAACGGCCCACCUAACCGACGAUGCGUAGGGGUUCUGAGAGGAAGGUCCCCCACACUGGUACUGAGACACGGACCAGACUCCUACGGAAGGCAGCAG
Molecule: ribosomal RNA, 279 nt
Filed under: uncultured bacterium
Lineage: Bacteria
Description: partial 16S ribosomal RNA
Rfam family: Bacterial small subunit ribosomal RNA
Source: RNAcentral